This 1002-nucleotide ribosomal RNA is filed under the name Nocardia brasiliensis. RNAcentral's name for it is "bacterial SSU rRNA". It matches the Rfam family "Bacterial small subunit ribosomal RNA", at positions 30 to 1049 of the family's 1533-position model. The record is from RNAcentral. Lineage: Bacteria; Bacillati; Actinomycetota; Actinomycetes; Mycobacteriales; Nocardiaceae.
CGAACGCUGGCGGCGUGCUUAACACAUGCAAGUCGAGCGGUAAGGACCUUCGGGGUACACGAGCGGCGAACGGGUGAGUAACACGUGGGUGAUCUGCCUCGCACUUCGGGAUAAGCCUGGGAAACUGGGUCUAAUACCGGAUAUGACUUCUGGUCGCAUGGCUGGGGGUGGAAAGAUUUAUCGGUGCGAGAUGGGCCCGCGGCCUAUCAGCUUGUUGGUGGGGUAAUGGCCUACCAAGGCGACGACGGGUAGCCGGCCUGAGAGGGCGACCGGCCACACUGGGACUGAGACACGGCCCAGACUCCUACGGGAGGCAGCAGUGGGGAAUAUUGCACAAUGGGCGAAAGCCUGAUGCAGCGACGCCGCGUGAGGGAUGACGGCCUUCGGGUUGUAAACCUCUUUCGACAGGGACGAAGCGCAAGUGACGGUACCUGUAGAAGAAGCACCGGCCAACUACGUGCCAGCAGCCGCGGUAAUACGUAGGGUGCGAGCGUUGUCCGGAAUUACUGGGCGUAAAGAGCUUGUAGGCGGUUUGUCGCGUCGUCUGUGAAAACUCACAGCUCAACUGUGAGCUUGCAGGCGAUACGGGCAGACUUGAGUACUGCAGGGGAGACUGGAAUUCCUGGUGUAGCGGUGAAAUGCGCAGAUAUCAGGAGGAACACCGGUGGCGAAGGCGGGUCUCUGGGCAGUAACUGACGCUGAGAAGCGAAAGCGUGGGUAGCGAACAGGAUUAGAUACCCUGGUAGUCCACGCCGUAAACGGUGGGCGCUAGGUGUGGGUUUCCUUCCACGGGAUCCGUGCCGUAGCUAACGCAUUAAGCGCCCCGCCUGGGGAGUACGGCCGCAAGGCUAAAACUCAAAGGAAUUGACGGGGGCCCGCACAAGCGGCGGAGCAUGUGGAUUAAUUCGAUGCAACGCGAAGAACCUUACCUGGGUUUGACAUACACCGGAAACCUGCAGAGAUGUAGGCCCCCUUGUGGUCGGUGUACAGGUGGUGCAUGGC